RNAcentral lists this ribosomal RNA (305 nucleotides) under Alvinocaris chelys. RNAcentral's name for it is "partial 12S ribosomal RNA". The record is from RNAcentral. Lineage: Eukaryota; Metazoa; Arthropoda; Malacostraca; Decapoda; Alvinocarididae.
ACUUAAAGGAUUUGGCGGUAUUUUAGUCUAGUUAGAGGAACCUGUUCUAUGAACGAUAAGCCACGAAGAAUCUUACUCUUUUUAGUAAAUCAGUUUGUAUACCGUCAUUAUCAGAUAAUCUUUAUAAAGAGUUAUUAAAAUAAGUUUUUUAGUAUAUUAGAUCAAGGUGCAGCCAAUAGGAGAGCAAGAAAUGGGUUACAAUGUAAUUGAUAUAUACUGGGAGAGGGCUGAAAUGCUUUUUUGAAGGUGGAUUUAAUAGUAAUAAUCUUUUAAUAAGGGGUUAUGAUAGUAGCUCUAGGAUAUGU